AGGUUGGCCUCGGAUCAGGUGGGGAUACCCGCUGAACUUAAGCAUAUCAAUUAAGCGGAGGAAUGGGUUAACCUUCGGG
Molecule: ribosomal RNA, 79 nt
Filed under: Fusicladium eriobotryae
Lineage: Eukaryota; Fungi; Ascomycota; Dothideomycetes; Venturiales; Sympoventuriaceae
Description: partial 28S ribosomal RNA
Source: RNAcentral